Molecule: long non-coding RNA, 582 nt
Filed under: Zea mays
Lineage: Eukaryota; Viridiplantae; Streptophyta; Magnoliopsida; Poales; Poaceae
Description: long non-coding RNA (ZMAY_LNC005064)
Source: RNAcentral
CGCAAAGUUAUAUUAGCAAGCUGUUUAGCUCAUGGGCAUUCCACCAAACACCCCACAUGCGGUAGCAGCAUUACCUGGUAUCCAUGCUUCCGAGUUUCCGACGGCUUACAGGUAACUGCUCUGCGUACGGAGAUCGGGUCGCAUUUUGAACUUUAGAUUUAGACGAGAUUCCACGCCUUCUUCUUGAGUCAUCUUCUCCGCCUCCUGCACUUUGCAAAGCAUUACCAUGAUCCUGAUGCAUGAUGGUCCCUCCUUUUCCCCCUCGCAGCUGCGCUGAGGAUUAUAGCAUACAAGCUGCAUCCGCCACGUGUACGCAAUGACGGCACCUAGCAUCUAGCUAUUUCGCACAUCACGCAUAGCGCUGCCGGUGCAAUAUUGCACAGUUUCCGGGUCCGGUGGGCGGUGGCCUGUCCGGGGAGGACUUGUUUCACUGCACUACAAUCCACCCGGCCGUGAGUUAUUUUUCACCUCAAUCCUUGGCAAUUCAUUUUCCAUGGUCAGUUGUACCGUCGAAAUACCAACAUGAUUUGCUUCUUCGUCCUCGAACAUAAAAAACCAGGCAUCCUACUUUCUGAAUUAUAA